AAAGCAACUUUUAUUAGCUUUUUAUUUCAUUGAUAUGGACCAUCAAAGGCGUAUGAAGGAUAACGCAGAGACCUUUAGGAGCAGUUCCAGGAUGAUGUAAGGACAUGUCGACGUGAACGCAAUGCUCGAACGUGCACCGAAAGAGGGAACUCGCUCGCGCGAGCUAGACGAGUUAAUUUUAGUUUAAUCGACCGACCUGAUACCGAGCUCGCGUACGAGCGGCAAUGCACGUACGAGCGUGCACGACGGCGAGUUAUACAAAGUGUCACCGAACGGACGCAUCCCGAGGACAAAACGCGCCUUCGACGAUAACUACCGCGCGACCGGCCGGCAGAAAACUGCGUCUGAAAGAAUGUCAGUUGGCGGGGAACGGAAAAAUAUUACAAUAUAUAUUAUACUUAUGAACGAGCGUGUGCCAAUGCACUUGGCGUGGCAUUAAAUUUUCAAGUCUCGCAUUUGUGUAAAAGACGGGAAAAGCAGCUAAUUACAGAGGAUGGGCGUUACAAAGUAUACAUCUGCGAGGACGUGAUUGUACGAGUUGUGUUCCGUGCUCGUGGAAUCUGCUACAUACGCUGUAACAAGGAAGUGCCGAAUUAACGAACGAAUUAAUCUAAUAACAUCGCGCGAGACGACACCAACUGCCAACCUUCUCGGAAGUAGCAACGACAGAUACUCGCGAAGGGAACGAUCACAUCAGCAGAUCGUCGUCACCAUGGAAAAGCGUACACGAGUUUACUCGUUUGUCAGUCACAUAUGGCAUACAGCAAACGUAAACAAUCUCGUGGGAUACUACAAUCACAGGACAUAAUCUUUCUCGGUUCUUACGCAUCCUCUCCUCAAGGAGGCUCAAAGCAUCACUUUUAUCACUUUACUUGAAUCGUAUUAGAGGCUCUUAUUUAAUUCCAAAUUAUUUGCGGCUGUUUGAGCAUUAUUUAGGAAAGCCGAUCUCUGUGUGCAAUCAUCAGUAAUAGCUUAUCUUCUUUCUAUUGGGCACAUACGAUUUGAUUCUCAUACGUUUACUCCUAAUUAUUUAAAAAAUAAUGGUUUACUCUUUGUUAAAAAAGCUACUUCUGUAUCCUUAUACAAUGUUAUAUCCUCUUAAAAAUUAUCUCUAUCGCUGUACAUAAAUAUGUAAGAUGCAGAGCGACAAUGUUGCCACGACGUUGGUUCAUUCAAUAUGUCAAAUUCCUCCAGCAAAGAUAAUAUGAACACUGUAAUAAUUA
This is a long non-coding RNA of Wasmannia auropunctata (little fire ant), 1223 nucleotides long. RefSeq lists it as uncharacterized. NCBI's taxonomy places the organism in Eukaryota, Metazoa, Arthropoda, Insecta, Hymenoptera, Formicidae. The record is from RefSeq and is a predicted model, not a curated record. The transcript has 3 exons.